Molecule: long non-coding RNA, 263 nt
Organism: Silurus meridionalis
Lineage: Eukaryota; Metazoa; Chordata; Actinopteri; Siluriformes; Siluridae
Exons: 3
Source: RefSeq, a predicted model, not a curated record
GAAGGAGGAAUCUCUUUGAGAGAAUUAUUAAUUGAAUUUAGUAAACCACUACUUCCUGUGGCAAGAGCCGGCAUAUUAUUUGCAGAAAUAUUGCAGCUUCUCUGCAAACAAAUGAGCCAAAAGGAAGUGGAGGCCUUAUGGAGGGACUCUAAACUGAGCUGUGCUGAUUUUCUUCCUGAAACCGUGGAUGGGAAUUUCAUUUGUUAGUAUAAGAACAUUACAAAUGGCAGCUCGUCUGAUCAGAAAAGAGAAAAGUGUUUGUG